UCCUCCGUGACGGGCGGAGGUGGGCGGGGCCCCGGCGGGGGCCGCCUGUCAGAGUCCGGUGAGGAAUUCUGUCGGGAAAAGCAACAUUUGAAGAGGAAUUCUGUGUCGGGAAAAGCAACAUUUGAAGAGGAAUUCUGUGUCGGGAAAAACAAAAUCUGAAGAGGAAUUCUGUGUCGGGAAAAGCAACAUCUGAAACAUUUCACUCUGGAGAGGAGCUUGAAGAUCCUCGUUCUGCAGCUCUUUAGGCAGGUUGAUUAGUUUGUAUCUGAUGAAGUCAAACAAAGUUCUGCUGCUGUCGUGAGUGAAGACGUCCCGUCUGCCCCCCCCCGCAGCAGGAGCGGGAACAGCUCCUCUGAUGCUGCAGAGCCGUGGGAGUUCAGGGCCUCCCUCUCGUGCAGAAAAUGCGGAACUGCAGUCUAUUUUUCUGGGCCCUCUGGUUGGCAGAUGCCACUGAGACCUGAGGAGAGGGGGGGGGCAUUUCUGAGCAGACCAGCAUCACCGGGGAGUGCAAGUGUGAAGACAAUCCUGUCAAAGUGA
This 537-nucleotide long non-coding RNA is filed under the name Oryzias javanicus (javanese ricefish). RNAcentral describes it as "lncRNA (ENSOJAG00000022920.1)". The record is from RNAcentral. Lineage: Eukaryota; Metazoa; Chordata; Actinopteri; Beloniformes; Adrianichthyidae.